RNAcentral lists this ribosomal RNA (301 nucleotides) under uncultured bacterium. RNAcentral's name for it is "partial 16S ribosomal RNA". It matches the Rfam family "Bacterial small subunit ribosomal RNA", at positions 509 to 807 of the family's 1533-position model. The record is from RNAcentral.
CAGUAGCCGCGGUAAAACGAAGGGUGCAAGCGUUACUCGGAAUUACUGGGCGUAAAGCGUGCGUAGGUGGUGGUUUAAGUCCGUUGUGAAAGCCCUGGGCUCAACCUGGGAAUUGCAGUGGAUACUGGGUCACUAGAGUGUGGUAGAGGAUAGUGGAAUUUCCGGUGUAGCAGUGAAAUGCGUAGAGAUCGGAAGGAACAUCUGUGGCGAAGGCGACUAUCUGGGCCAACACUGACACUGAGGCACGAAAGCGUGGGGAGCAAACAGGAUUAGAGACCCCUGUAGUCCCUGUCUCUUAUAC